RNAcentral lists this microRNA precursor (189 nucleotides) under Oryza sativa Japonica Group (Japanese rice). RNAcentral describes it as "MIR812 microRNA precursor family". It matches the Rfam family "MIR812 microRNA precursor family". The record is from Rfam by way of RNAcentral. Lineage: Eukaryota; Viridiplantae; Streptophyta; Magnoliopsida; Poales; Poaceae.
AAUAAGUGUAGUUUUACACUGUUCAUGUCAAAUGUUCGAUUGUUCGUCUUAUUUAAAAUUUUUUUAUGAUUAGUAUUUUUAUUGUUAUUAUAUGAUAAAAACAUGAAUAUUACUUUAUGUGUCUAACUUUUUUAUUUUUUUUCAUUAAUUUCUCAAAUAAGACGGACGGUCAACGAAGGGACGGAGGUC